UUAAAAAGCUCGUAGUUGAAUUUCGGGGUCAGUAGGUCGGUCGUGCCACUGGUAUGAACUGGUUUUACUGAUUCCUCCCUCUUGAAGAACUGUAAUGCCAUUAAUUUGGUGUUGCAGGGAAUCAGGACUGUCACUUUGAAAAAAUUAGAGUGUUUAAAGCAGGCUUUAGCUUGAAUACAUUAGCAUGGAAUAAUGAAAUAGGACGUUUGAUCCUAUUUUGUUGGUUUCUAGGAUUGACGUAAUGAUUAAUAGGGAUAGUUGGGGG
This 265-nucleotide ribosomal RNA is filed under the name uncultured Glomeromycotina. RNAcentral's name for it is "partial 18S ribosomal RNA". It matches the Rfam family "Eukaryotic small subunit ribosomal RNA", at positions 619 to 888 of the family's 1831-position model. The record is from RNAcentral. Lineage: Eukaryota; Fungi; Glomeromycota.